UGAGCAGCAGGAAGAAAGCUGGGAAGUUCAGACCCUGCCUGUAAGGAGGGUGCGGUGGACGGAUUAAGAACAACGCUGUGAAGGAAAAGCCUGGGUCUCGGUUUGCGGCGUGGGGAGCACCCGGCUUUGCAGAGCUGUGGCGCAGAGGUGGAGCGGAGCUUUUGUCAAUGUGUGUGUUUGAGAACACUGCUGCAGCUAGAACCAGAAAGGACCUGGUGAAUCAGCAAGGGGCUUCUUAUUCUGAGGAUGUGAACCUUCCUGGGGGAGUCCUGCUUCUGUCAGGCAUGACAUUCCAAAUACUUACAGAUGACAUCCCAGAAACCAGCGGCAAAGACCAGACCUCUGGUAGGAAGAGGCAUUAAGUCUUAAGAGGGUGAAGUAACUGGGCCGAGGCCAAGUGAGAUUGCUGCAUGUCCAUCUGACUCCACAGCCCUUUGGGUGAGGAGACUAAGAUCCAAGAAGGCUGAGCAAAAUGCCCAAAAUUACAGUCAACUAAGGCAGAACAGGGACUCCCAUUUGCUUUCUGCUGCCUUUCCAAUGACCUACAUCUGCCUACCAGUACCUUGACUAUGGGCUGGGGGAGAGGGAUCCAACCUACUUCCAGAGUUGAAGAGCAGAACUGUAGAGGAAUUGAAAAUAAGGAAUUCAGAGAAGGAAGGAGAAGAGGAUUUAAGAGGCUGACUGUGCAGAUUUGAUGGAGAUUCAUUCAGAGCAUUUUUUGGAGCUGGAAAUAUUCUCAGAAGUCAUCUAUCCUGUCGAUUCUGGCCCUCCCUUGUAAGGUGUGGCAAUCUCUGAGUCAGCUUGGACUGUGACCCAGGAAAUUGACCCGUAAGAGGUAGUUCUCACCCUUUCCCUUCCACCAUGUAGAAGUUUCCUGAAGCAGAUGCCAGCACCAUGCUUCUUAUACAGCUUGCAGAACUGUGAACUAAAUAAAUCUCUUUUCUUUAUAAAUUACCCAGCCUCAAGUAUGCCUUUAUAAUAGUGCAAAUGGACUAAGACAGAUAUGAAGCAGGCUUCCCAUGUCUCUCCUUUCUUGCUGCCCUGGUCCCUGGUCUUGGCUCCCCUUUGGAAUGAUCUUCUCUAAACAUUUCUUCUAAUCCUCCCCUCCCACCUCCACACUUCACGACUGCCAGAGCCACAGGUCCCUGGAGCCCUUGAGUGUCCCUGUGUGAGCAGCCAGUACUGUGCAGGAGAGGAGAACUCUGGUGGGAACACAGUGCAUAUCUGCAGCACAGCAGAAAGGUUACCAACUUGGAGAGGCUGGGCUUCAGCCAUCUAGAGAAAUGUGAAGGGGCAUUAGCCUUGCCUCCUCCGUUCCAGGGCCUCAGAGGUCAGGAGAAAGCAUAUCACCUCAAGCAGAACAUUCUGAACUACAGGCCUCCCUGGGCAUGAAGCCUCUGGCUACCCCAAGACAAGCCUGAGGGAGGCCAAAGGUUUUUACCCAUUGAUGUGAAUCCAUGGGUGCAGGUACUGGGUGGAGAGAAGGGGCAUUCCCGGCACAGAGAAUGGCAGAAGCAGGAAAGAGCAGGAUGUAUUUGGAGAAGUGGCUGGUGUGCAGAACACGAAGGGUGCUCUCAAGUAGAUGAGUCUACAGUGGUUGGCAGUGCCAGCUCACAAAGACUGAGCUUCUUGACAAAGCACUUGGAUUUAGAAGUAAAGGAACCACUGAAGAUGUUCUUUUCCUUAUAGAUUUAAAAAAUGUAAUAAAUUUUUAUUUAACUUUUUUAUUAUAUAUAUUUUUAGGUGUACAACAUAUUGUUUCCACACAGUAAAAUGGUUGCUAUAGUCAAACAAAUUGUUGUAUUCGUCAUCUCACACAACUGCCUCACCUUUUGUUUGGUGUAUGGCAACAGCACCUCAAAUCUAUUCUUUAAGUCAAAAUCCUGUACACAUUAUUAACUAUAGUUGUCACGCAGCAUGUUAGAUCUCUACCCUUGUUCAUCCUACAUGCCGAUACAUUUUUAUUUAGGAGUAGUUUUUAGAUUUACAGAAAGAUUACCAAGAUAGAACAGAAAAUCUCCAUUUCCCCUGUGAUACUGUGAUCUGGUUGGAAAUAUGUAUAGGCAUACCUUGGUUUAUUGCAUUUCACUUUGUUAUGCUCU
This is a long non-coding RNA of Callithrix jacchus (white-tufted-ear marmoset), 2102 nucleotides long. RefSeq lists it as uncharacterized. The record is from RefSeq and is a predicted model, not a curated record. Lineage: Eukaryota; Metazoa; Chordata; Mammalia; Primates; Cebidae.